This 518-nucleotide ribosomal RNA is filed under the name uncultured Tuber. RNAcentral describes it as "eukaryotic LSU rRNA". The stretch from base 169 to 322 matches the Rfam family "5.8S ribosomal RNA". The record is from RNAcentral. Lineage: Eukaryota; Fungi; Ascomycota; Pezizomycetes; Pezizales; Tuberaceae.
CAUUUAUGCGUAUCCUCCCAUGUUGCUUUCCCAGGCCAGCGGCCACUGCUGCCAGCCAUGCCGUUUUUCGGUUACAUGGUUGAGGUGCUUGGGGAAGGGCUAAUUAUCAAACUUUACUUCACCUUAUUGUCUGAGAAGGCCAUGUGCCGUAAUCUUUAAACAUGUUAAAACUUUCAACAACGGAUCUCUUGGCUCUCGCAUCGAUGAAGAACGCAGCGAAAUGCGAUAAGUAAUGUGAAUUGCAGAAUUCAGUGAAUCAUCGAAUCUUUGAACGCACAUUGCGCCCUUUGGUAUUCCUUAGGGCAUGCCUGUUCGAGCGUCGCAAAAACCCAGAUCACCUAGAGUGUGGUAUUGGCAGAAGUGGCCGGAGCUAUCAGGGCUGCUGCCACUCUGCUGGAAUGAAUAGGCUGGAAAAGUAGAUCAUAGCAACAGACUUUCACAGUAUUUUGAAAUGCUAAAUUAGUUUGAAGCUGAUCGGAACCUAAGCCAUUUGACCCCCAUCCUGCGUAAAGCAGUAA